UACAGAGGUGGCAAGCGUUGUUCGGAAUUACUGGGCGUAAAGGGCGCGUAGGCGGCCCUCUAAGUCAGACGUGAAAUCCCCCGGCUUAACCUGGGAACUGCGUCUGAUACUGGAGGGCUUGAGUAUGGGAGAGGGAUGUAGAAUUCCAGGUGUAGCGGUGAAAUGCGUAGAUAUCUGGAGGAAUACCGGUGGCGAAGGCGGCAUCCUGGACCAUUACUGACGCUGAGGCGCGAAAGCUAGGGGAGCAAACGGG
RNAcentral lists this ribosomal RNA (253 nucleotides) under uncultured bacterium. RNAcentral describes it as "partial 16S ribosomal RNA". It matches the Rfam family "Bacterial small subunit ribosomal RNA", at positions 524 to 776 of the family's 1533-position model. The record is from RNAcentral. RNAcentral also lists the same sequence under 1 other name.